Heterocephalus glaber (naked mole-rat) is the source of this 419-nucleotide long non-coding RNA. NCBI's taxonomy places the organism in Eukaryota, Metazoa, Chordata, Mammalia, Rodentia, Bathyergidae. The record is from Ensembl.
CCCUUGGUGUGAUGACAGUAAUUUGCAUUUUUCCAAUCAAUGAGAAGAUAAAGGGGGCAGAGAAGGAAGAGAUUCAUUUCAGGGCAGCACAUUGCUGUGUGAAAGAACUACAUUUCCCAGUCCAUCUUGAAGCUGAUGUGAUCAUGUGACUGAGUUUUAGUCAGUGAGAAACAAGCAAGAAUAUGGGAGUCUAAAGUGGAAAAUGGCAGCCUCUCUUUGGUCCUAUUCCCUUCCUGCUACCUGGAAUAUGGAUGAAAUCACAAGAGCUUCAUAUGUUUGCAAAUUGUGGCCCUUUGCUAAGUGACUGAAAGAACAUGGAAGAAACCUAAAUCCCUGACACUUGUGUCCACCAUACUGCUUCUGACCUGGAACUCUGGGCUUGAUCAUGUGGGAAAGAAAACAAACCUUAUUAUAUUUUG